This 500-nucleotide ribosomal RNA is filed under the name uncultured bacterium. RNAcentral's name for it is "bacterial SSU rRNA". It matches the Rfam family "Bacterial small subunit ribosomal RNA", at positions 28 to 554 of the family's 1533-position model. The record is from RNAcentral.
GACGAACGCUGGCGGCGUGCUUAACACAUGCAAGUCGAGCGGGUGCAGCAAUGCAUCAGCGGCGGACGGGUGAGUAACGCGUGAACAAUCUGCCUCUAUCAGCGGGAUAACACAUAGAAAUAGGUGCUAAUACCGCAUAAGACCACGAUUUCGCAUGAAGAAGUGGUAAAAGCUCCGACGGAUAGAGAUGAGUUCGCGUCCCAUUAGCUAGUUGGUGAGGUAACGGCCCACCAAGGCGACCAUGGGUAGCCGACCUGAGAGGGUGAUCGGCCACAUUGGAACUGAGAAACGGUCCAAACUCCUACGGGAGGCAGCAGUGGGGAAUAUUGGGCAAUGGGCGCAAGCCUGACCCAGCAACGCCGCGUGAAGGAUGAAGGUUUUCGGAUUGUAAACUUCUGUCGCGAGGGACGAAGAAUGACGGUACCUCGUAAGAAAGCCCCGGCAAACUACGUGCCAGCAGCCGCGGUAAUACGUAGGGGGCAAGCGUUGUCCGGAAUGAC